This 1926-nucleotide ribosomal RNA is filed under the name Triticum aestivum (bread wheat). RNAcentral's name for it is "partial small subunit ribosomal RNA". Lineage: Eukaryota; Viridiplantae; Streptophyta; Magnoliopsida; Poales; Poaceae. The record is from RNAcentral.
AUGGGGCUUGAAAUGUUCUUGAGUCUCCCAGAUGUGGAACUCCCACACUAUUUGGUUCAGCCGCUUCUGCACUUGGUCGACUGCCAACGUGGGACGGUCAAGAUUAAAAAAGAGCAUCUAGCAAUUAAGCCUUUGAUACCGGUCAUCCUGGGUCUUCCAUCUGAACCAGGGAUGGAUAAGUUGCCCUCAGUGGAUGACGAUCUUCUUGACACUGUAUUUCUAACGAAAAUCAUAGGUGCAGGUCUAGUGAUGGGAGAGUUUGGAGAUCAACUCAAAGAGAUAAAUGAUCCUGCGGUCUUCAAGCUCGCAUUUCUUUCGUUUAUCUUGUGUCACCUACUGUGCCCCAACUCGAAUGCCCACAUUAAGGAAAGUAUCUACUCCCUGAAGUCAAAGAUUGAGUCCAUACAGAAAGCAGGUUGGUGUAGCUACAUCUAUGACCAACUAAUGAUUGCUAUCCGCGAGUACAAGCACAAUUGUUCAUCGUGGAAGAAAGGAUCUAAGAAUAGAAGUUUUGUUCGUGGUUGCAUGUAUAUAUUGGCGGUCAUUCACCUGGACGUCUUGGAUACACCAGAGAAACCUGAUACAGGCUAUCCCCGUAUACUGCAUAUUAAAAACAACCACUUCCGACAGAUGAAGAAUCAUCAGUUUGAAUUUCUCCUUGUGAAAGAUACUGUCUACGCAAAUGUUAUUGCUAACCUCGAACAAGAACAAGAAGUUCAACCAGUAGUAAUAACCUCAGGCGCCAGAGAAAGUGAUGAUGUGCAGGGAUCACCAGCAGAAGCGCAAGCCUCUGAUGUUUGUGAUGGUGACGAAGCUCGAGGUUCUUCACUUCUUUGUGAGCAUGUUCCUGUUAUGGAGAAGAAACUUGCUUCUGCUGCUCCUCGGGAAUUGAUGGCUUCUUCUGCUGUCGGGAAUGAGAUCAGAAAAGAAUCUACUACUGCCCUGGUUGAACAAAUUGAGAGGCAAAUGUCUUGCACCCAGAUUGGACGAAAUACAGAUAUGGAAGUGGAUGUCAGCCUGCAAAACCCUGCAGUGUCACAAGUCCAGGAUGGUCCAGAUAAAGAAGAAAGUGAGGGGGUGCGAUUGGGUUCCAAGACAUCAAAGCUGCUGCUGGUACAUGCUGACCAACAGCCUGGAAUGGAGGACCGGCUAGUAGUCUCUUCAAAACCAAGGAAAGGAGAUGUGAGCAGUUCUUGCCCUAAGACAGGUUCCAUGUCUGCAGAAUCUGAUGUGAGCCAGGACAGCAACAGAGAACAAGAUAAGAUGGUGGCAAGAAAACAUGCUGAAGAUAAACCUGGUGCUGGAGGACACACUGCACCCUCACAUAAUGAUGUUGCCACCACAGACUACGAGAAACACUGCGUUUUCGCUAGUGAAGUCAAAGAUAAGCUGAGUGAUAUACAGAAAUGCUGGUUGCAAAGUACUGUCAACCACGAGGUGCCUGAAAUACCGCUUUAUGUUUGUAAAAUGAAACAAGGUCUGCUAAGCCAAAUGUAUUUCAGUGUCCCAUAUACGAGAGAUCAUUUCAGCAAGCAUAUUCGUGGGAGUAGUGGGGAAAUGAAAAUCAGCGCUACUAAUGGUGGAAACUCAGCGCGCAUGAAAUUUAAUAUCUCUGUAAGUAAGAGUCAUAGAAGAUUAACCUUCGGAGAAAAAGAAUGGAAAGUCUUCGUGAGCGCCAACAGGAUGGAAGAGGGUGCUUUGUGCGCCUUCAGUUUUAAAGUUGAGAGUGGGAAGCCUUCGUCCCUACUCCAAGAAAAGGCGGUUAGGGUUUCUGCCUCCCGUGGGCGGCGCGGCCGAUCUCCCAUAUCUGCUGUGGCCUUAGGGCCAUGGGUGAGCGGUGGAUCUCGGCCCUUGCAGACGAGGGGGCUCCGAUUUCAGGUGCUUCUUCAAGUUUUGUUAAGGUUUGUUUCCUGCUAUAGAAGAUGA